Molecule: long non-coding RNA, 1026 nt
Filed under: Numida meleagris (helmeted guineafowl)
Lineage: Eukaryota; Metazoa; Chordata; Aves; Galliformes; Numididae
Description: lncRNA (ENSNMEG00000009557.1)
Source: RNAcentral
AGGCUCAGAAGCCCAAAGCGAAGGCACGCAGGCAGCUCCGACAGGUACACUGCACCCUGGCUCCGCGGCACUCUGCCCCACCGGCUCGGCACGGCUUGCUGUAACGCUACCCUUACCGCUCUGCUCCAACAAGAGCUGCGCCUUACCUCACCUGUCAACGCCGCCCACCUCCCCACCACUCGAGAGAAGGAAGAGACCGCCGAAAAGGCAGACCUCUGUGCUCAGCCACUUUAUUUCAGCUAUAAAACGCUGCCCAUAGAGGAAGCGGCUCGCUGUUCUCACCUCGGCGGGACGCUCAACCCCGGUGGCCGGCAGCCCCCCCAGCCCUCUCCGCCUCCCCCUACAGACGGCGGAGAUCGCCGCUCCGUGACGGCCGGGGGGCACUCCCAGCGCCGCGGCUGUUCCACGCCGGAGAGAGCCCACGGGAGGGACCGGGACAGCUUCCACCGGAGGGAGGGAGGCACGGAGAGCCGCCCGGGGACACGCCGCUGGCACGGCAGAGAAGAAGGGGGCAGGGAGGGUAGACAGGGCCGGGAAAAGUUGCACCCACGAGGGAAACCGGGAGAGGGGGCAGGCGGCCAGCACCGGUCCGGCUGCCAGGAAAGGGGAGCUAGGCACUGCUGCCGGGACAGGAACCCCCGCCCCAGGAGCGGAGCGCGGGCACCGCGCGGAGGUCUCGGGCCCCUACCUGCGAUGGGCGGCGACCGCCACGUCGCGCAGCGCCUCCGUUCCGCUCAGCGGCCGCGCAGGCUGCCCCGGCCCGCCCGCCGGCGACCGAGAAGGAAGCGGAGCUCUGCCGCCGUCGCACGGGCAGAGGAAGGCGAGGAGGCGGCGUGCCCGCCCCCUGCCGGUGGCGGACCGGGCCCGCGGCGGUGGCGCCGCCGUCUACAGCCGCUGCCUCUCGAUCUGGGGAGGGUCGUCCUGACAGCGGGGUGUGGGGCUGGGCUGCUUACAUUUGUACUUCUGCAGUCACGAGUUCAACGGAGAACAGCAUGGGGCUGCGCGCACCUGGAAAUGUUAAAAUGA